RNAcentral lists this ribosomal RNA (268 nucleotides) under uncultured bacterium. RNAcentral's name for it is "partial 16S ribosomal RNA". It matches the Rfam family "Bacterial small subunit ribosomal RNA", at positions 86 to 354 of the family's 1533-position model. The record is from RNAcentral.
UUUAUCUUAGUGGCGGACGGGUGAGUAACGCGUGGGUAACCUGCCCUGUACAGGGGGAUAACACUUAGAAAUAGGUGCUAAAACCGCAUAAGCGCACAGUACCGCAUGGUACAGUGUGAAAAACUCCGGUGGUACAGGAUGGACCCGCGUCUGAUUAGCUGGUUGGAGGGGUAACGGCCCACCAAGGCGACGAUCAGUAGCCGGCCUGAGAGGGUGAACGGCCACAUUGGGACUGAGACACGGCCCAAACUCCUACGGAAGGCAGCAG